Non-coding RNA from Faecalibacterium sp. CAG:1138, 265 nucleotides. It matches the Rfam family "Bacterial large signal recognition particle RNA". Rfam says of the family: The signal recognition particle (SRP) is a universally conserved ribonucleoprotein involved in the co-translational targeting of proteins to membranes. Archaeal SRP consists of a 7S RNA and homologues of the eukaryotic SRP19 and SRP54 proteins. In most bacteria, the SRP consists of a 4.5S RNA and the Ffh protein (a homologue of the eukaryotic SRP54 protein). The record is from Rfam. NCBI's taxonomy places the organism in Bacteria, Bacillati, Bacillota, Clostridia, Eubacteriales, Oscillospiraceae.
CUGUGCUAGACGGGGAAUUAGCGGUGCCCUGUAUCUGAAACCCGCUAUACGCAGAGUCGAAUGCUUCCCGAGGCCUUUCCUAUGGUUGGCCGAUUGCGCCAAGGAGCGUCGAUGUUAAGGUCUCGUGCAAUGUCUAACUGUGAACCUGGUCAGGGCUUGACCGCAGCAGCCAUAAGCAGUCCCGGACAUGUGCCACGAGGUAGCUUUAACGGAGCCACCUGCCGCAAUACCGCUUCGGUGGGGAUUGUCGACGGAAGAUGCACAG